ACGGCUCAGUAACACGUGGACAACCUACCCAAAGGUCUGGGAUAACUCCGGGAAACUGGGGAUAAUACCGGAUAGGUCAAGAGUACUGGAAGAGUUUUUUGAUUGAAAGCUCUGGCGCCUUUGGAUGGGUCUGCGGCUGAUUAGGUUGACGCCGGUGUAAAGUACCGGCGUGCCGAUUAUCAGUACGGGUUGUGGGAGCAAGAGCCCGGAGAUGGAUUCUGAGACACGAAUCCAGGCCCUACGGGGCGCAGCAGGCGCGAAAACUCUACAAUGCAGGCAACUGCGAUAGGGGAACAUCGAGUGGCAUCUACAUUAGGUGUCUGUCCAGCUGUCUAAAAAACGGCUGUUAGCAAGGGCCGGGCAAGACCGGUGCCAGCCGCCGCGGUAAUACCGGCGGCUCGAGUGGUGGCCGAUAUUAUUGAGUCUAAAGGGUCCGUAGCCGGCUUUGCAAGUCUUGUGGGAAAUCCAGCGGCUUAACCGUUGGGCGUCUGCGGGAUACUACAUUGCUUGGGACUGGGAGAGGUAGGAGGUACUCAGGGGGUAGGAGUGAAAUCCUGUAAUCCUCUGGGGACCACCGGUGGCGAAGGCGUCCUACCAGAACAGGUCCGACGGUGAGGGACGAAAGCUAGGGGCACGAACCGGAUUAGAUACCCAGGUAGUCCUAGCCGUAAACGAUGCCCGCUAGGUGUCACGGCAGUCGUGAACUGCCGUGGUGCCGUAGGGAAGCCGUGAAGCGGGCCACUUGGGAAGUACGACCGCAAGGUUGAAACUUAAAGGAAUUGGCGGGGGAGCAC
RNAcentral lists this ribosomal RNA (794 nucleotides) under uncultured Methanosarcinaceae archaeon. RNAcentral's name for it is "bacterial SSU rRNA". It matches the Rfam family "Archaeal small subunit ribosomal RNA", at positions 85 to 879 of the family's 1478-position model. Lineage: Archaea; Methanobacteriati; Methanobacteriota; Methanomicrobia; Methanosarcinales; Methanosarcinaceae. The record is from RNAcentral.